ACUGGGAUUACAAGGUGUGCGCCACCACGCCCGGCUAACUUUUGUGUUUUUAGUAGAGACAGGGUUUCGCCAUGUUGGCCCAGCUGGUCUCGAACUCUUGACCUCAAAUGAUCCACCCACCUUGGCCUCCCAGAGUGCUGGGAUUGCAGGAGUGAGCCACCGCACCCUGCUUAUUUAUUAAUUUAUUUGUCCAAUAUUUAUCAAUCUCCUACCAUGCCCAAGGCACCUUAGAGGGCACCGAGAAUACAACAGCAAACACGACACAGUCCCUGCCCUCGGUCACUUCAAGAGCUGGAGGGAGAGGGGAGUGAGUGAAAACAGUGCACUGAGAUGGAAGAUGGGAGGGGCAAUCGGGGGUGCUUCACAGAGGAGGAGGCAUGUUGGUAACGUGGUAACGUGGAACGUUGGUAACGUUCCGUGAUAACGUGGAAAGUUGGUAACGUUCCGUGAAGUCUGCAUCUUCAAAUGCCCCUAGCUCUGUCUAGGCUGAUGAGACGGGAGAAUGGCCAGGCCUGAGAAGUGGCUUAUGGUUGGAGGGGAGUCAGAAAGGGAAGGAUGAUUUCUCAGAAGGAAUGAGAGGAGCGCAGCCCCCUUGGUGAUCCCCACUUCCUGGGGAACGGGCCUUUUCCUGGCAGUGCUGUGCUGCGGCCCCGCGGGCCAAAUGCGGGUAGACAUGCUGCCCUCCCGCGCGUGGCCGGGAAAAGGGCAGGGCACUGUUCCUUCCCUGUGCCCCUCCCCUCUGCCAUCAGUCUCCACUUCUCUAUUUACCUCCCUGCCCUCUCGCCCCUAAACCUCCUUUCUCUCCCCAUCUGGCUUCCCUCUCCAUCCGUCAGUGAGCUGUGAUUGCGCUGCACUCCAGCCUGGGCGACAGAGUGAGACUUUGUCUCUAAAAAAGAAGAAGAAAAAAAAAAAAAAACGAAUGAUGAAGGAAAGUGACAAGAUUUCCAUUUCCAGAAACCCAAGUCUUGACGUUAUCCACACGGAAGAUGUCGCUCAGAAUACACUUUUCUUGGAGAAGGACGGCCCUGCAACUGCAUUCAAUUCAGUUUCUUGCCUGAGGAGGGUGAAAAAACAAGGAGGGUCUCAAGAACUGAGCGCAGCUGUGAGGAGCAGCUCACAAGGAAGGAGGAAGCACAGUCAAGAGGAACCCAUCAUCUGGUGUUGAAAGGUAGAUUUGCAGAAGUCCACCCAUGUGUAGCGGAGACAGAAUACUCAGCAGAUAUUUCCCAGGCUCCCCUGCAGGCUCAGCCCCUGCAGAGGGGAAGUGGAUAAGCCUCAUUUCUGGACUGAAGCUGCACGUUGAAUGGGUAAAGCCCGUGGUCAUAAGCAGGCUGGUUCAAUGACAUGGAAGACACAACUCUGCAGUCACUGGAACCACGAUGGACUCUGUGUGUGCUGGAAAUGAACCUUCAUGGUGCUAAGUCACUGAGAUUUCAGAUUUUGUCCGUUGCCCUAACAUAUCAUUGCCUACACACACUAGUAGACUGUUUAUCUUUUUCUAAAGCAAGAAAAACCACACAUCAAUAAACAUUUGCUGUGCCUCUAUUAUACGCAAGAGAACAUAGCAGUGAACUCCCUCCCCGAAGAGCACUUUCUCCAUGGAAGUCUCUGAUUCAUCGUUCACUGUUCCCAUGGGUGACUGACGACAUCCCAAACUCUGAAGGCUGGUGACAAUCCAGUUCGGGAAUAUCGGUGUGGAGGAAGCAUUGGCUCUGAUGCCAGAAACUCAAAUUAGCUUUUGAUAUUUAAUGUCAUUUAAUCUUGUCUGUUUACUUAUUUAAAAUAACUGUGACUUUCUUCAUUUUCAAUGUUCAUUAAAGUACAUUUUGUACUUGAUGGAAGAUUAGUAUCUCUUGAAACAUAUCAUGUGAAGUAAUUUUAGACUCCUUUUCUUCCCAAAUUAGGCUGCCAUCAAGCCCUGCUGCUUCCAUCACAGAGUUUCCAAAGCACUCUCAUUCUUGCACCUUCACCAUCAAUGGGUUCAAUUAAAAAACAAACCCUGACUUUUGGGUAUAUAGCAAGGAGUAGGUGGGCAGACCAGAGACAGUCACCUUUUAAAAUCUCAUCUGAGAGGCUUACUUACUUCAUAAUCUCUUGAGUGAUGUACCUGAGGGAGUCCCUCGUAUCUUCAGAAAGAAAGAAUGUUUUCUAUUUUGUUGCUAAUCUUACCAUGGAACCUUAAAUAAAGAAUAGUGAAAUUUUAUUAGGGAAGGAAAGUAGGGAGAAGAGAGUGAUUAAUAUACUCAGUUUCUCAAGUGCAAAGAAAUUUCAGCGAGCUGUAAAGUUUGAGUAUGUGUGUAACUUUUUAUUUCCCCUUGAUGUAUGAUUAGGUUUACUACCUCUUGAUAUUAACAUUUACACACCAGCUGUAGUAGCAACACAUUUUACAUUCUUUUGCAAAUUAGUUUUCAAUCCAGUAUGUCUCUGGAAAGGGAAGUAAAAUCUUGCUAAAGAAUAC
Long non-coding RNA from Macaca mulatta (Rhesus monkey), 2458 nucleotides. The record is from Ensembl. NCBI's taxonomy places the organism in Eukaryota, Metazoa, Chordata, Mammalia, Primates, Cercopithecidae.